GCUUACGGCCACACAGCCUGGUUCACUCCCUGAUCUCGUUUGAUCUCGGAAGCUAAGAUAGGUUGGGCCUGGUUAGUACUUGGAUGGGAGACCGUCUGGGAAUACCAGGUGCUGUAUGCU
RNAcentral lists this ribosomal RNA (120 nucleotides) under Scophthalmus maximus (turbot). The record is from RNAcentral. Lineage: Eukaryota; Metazoa; Chordata; Actinopteri; Pleuronectiformes; Scophthalmidae.